UGGGGAAUAUUGCGCAAUGGGCGAAAGCCUGACGCAGCGACGCCGCGUGAGGGAUGAAGGUUUUCGGAUCGUAAACCUCUGUCAGAAGGGAAGAAACUACAUUGUGCUAAUCAGCAGUGUACUGACGGUACCUUCAAAGGAAGCACCGGCUAACUCCGUGCCAGCAGCCGCGGUAAUACGGAGGGUGCAAGCGUUAAUCGGAAUUACUGGGCGUAAAGCGCACGUAGGCUGUAGUGUAAGUCAGGGGUGAAAUCCCACGGCUCAAACGUGGAACUGCCUUGGAUACUGCACGACUUGAGUCCGGGAGAGGGUGGCGGAAUUCCAGGUGUAGGAGUGAAAUCCGUAGAUAUCUGGAGGAACAUCAGUGGCGAGGGCGGCCACCUGGACCGGUAUUGACGCUGAGGUGCGAAAGCGUGGGGAGCAAACA
This 427-nucleotide ribosomal RNA is filed under the name uncultured bacterium. RNAcentral's name for it is "bacterial SSU rRNA". It matches the Rfam family "Bacterial small subunit ribosomal RNA", at positions 355 to 774 of the family's 1533-position model. The record is from RNAcentral.